RNAcentral lists this ribosomal RNA (492 nucleotides) under uncultured bacterium. Its description in RNAcentral is "partial 16S ribosomal RNA". It matches the Rfam family "Bacterial small subunit ribosomal RNA", at positions 29 to 507 of the family's 1533-position model. The record is from RNAcentral.
AGUGAACGCUGGCGGUAGGCCUAACACAUGCAAGUCGAACGGCAGCACAGUAAGAGCUUGCUCUUACGGGUGGCGAGUGGCGGACGGGUGAGGAAUACAUCGGAAUCUACUUUUUCGUGGGGGAUAACGUAGGGAAACUUACGCUAAUACCGCAUACGACCUACGGGUGAAAGCAGUGGAUCUUCGGACCUUGCGCGAUUGAAUGAGCCGAUGUCGUAUUGGCUAGUUGGCGGGGUAAAGGCCCACCAAGGCGACGAGCCGUAGCUGGUCUGAGGGGAUGGUCGGCCAGACUGGAGCGGAGGCAGGGUCCAGACACCUAAGGGGAGCAGCAGUGGAAAAUAUUGGGCGAUGGGCGCGAGCCUGAUCCAGCCCUACCGAGUGGGUGAAGAAGGCCUUCGGGUUGUAAAGCCAUUUUGUUGGGAAAGAAAAGCAGCAGGUUAAUACCCCGCUGUUCUGACGGUACCCAAAGAAUAAGCACCGGCUAACUUCGUG